Molecule: ribosomal RNA, 410 nt
Filed under: Salmonella enterica subsp. enterica serovar Agona str. 400095 11
Lineage: Bacteria; Pseudomonadati; Pseudomonadota; Gammaproteobacteria; Enterobacterales; Enterobacteriaceae
Description: bacterial SSU rRNA
Rfam family: Bacterial small subunit ribosomal RNA
Source: RNAcentral
ACUUAAAUUGAAGAGUUUGAUCAUGGCUCAGAUUGAACGCUGGCGGCAGGCCUAACACAUGCAAGUCGAACGGUAGCACAGAGAGCUUGCUCUCGGGUGACGAGUGGCGGACGGGUGAGUAAUGUCUGGGAAACUGCCUGAUGGAGGGGGAUAACUACUGGAAACGGUGGCUAAUACCGCAUAACGUCGCAAGACCAAAGAGGGGGACCUUCGGGCCUCUUGCCAUCAGAUGUGCCCAGAUGGGAUUAGCUGGUUGGUGAGGUAACGGCUCACCAAGGCGACGAUCCCUAGCUGGUCUGAGAGGAUGACCAGCCACACUGGAACUGAGACACGGUCCAGACUCCUACGGGAGGCAGCAGUGGGGAAUAUUGCACAAUGGGCGCAAGCCUGAUGCAGCCAUGCCGCGUGUA